RNAcentral lists this transfer RNA (76 nucleotides) under Clostridiales bacterium. RNAcentral's name for it is "tRNA-Met". It matches the Rfam family "tRNA". Rfam says of the family: Transfer RNA (tRNA) molecules are approximately 80 nucleotides in length. Their secondary structure includes four short double-helical elements and three loops (D, anti-codon, and T loops). Lineage: Bacteria; Bacillati; Bacillota; Clostridia; Eubacteriales. The record is from RNAcentral. RNAcentral also lists the same sequence under 1 other name.
CGCGGGGUGGAGCAGCUGGUAGCUCGUUGGGCUCAUAACCCAGAGGUCGGAGGUUCGAAUCCUCCCCCCGCAACCA